GUUAAUGUAGCUUAAUAUUAAAGCAAGGCACUGAAAAUGCCUAGAUGAGUUCUUCCCCACUCCAUAAACA
RNAcentral lists this transfer RNA (70 nucleotides) under Myotis albescens. Its description in RNAcentral is "tRNA-Phe". It matches the Rfam family "tRNA". Rfam says of the family: Transfer RNA (tRNA) molecules are approximately 80 nucleotides in length. The record is from RNAcentral. Lineage: Eukaryota; Metazoa; Chordata; Mammalia; Chiroptera; Vespertilionidae.